AAAGUUAGCUAGACAAUCGCUGUUUAAUACAGAGGAAAGUCCGGGCCCUAAAGAGCAAGAUGCCAGGUAAUUCCUGGGAGGAGUGAUCCUACGACUAGUGCAACAGAAAAAAAACCGCCACUUUUGUUGGUAAGGGUGAAAAGGUGCGAUAAGAGCGUACCGCAAUUUAUGGUAACAUAAUUGGCAGUGUAAACUCCAUCUAGGGCAAGGCCAAAUAAAAGCUUGAUUGCUCGUCUUUAAGCUUUGGUAGGCUGCAAGAAUAAAUAUGUGAAUGUUUAUCUAGAUAAAUGAUUGUCCAAGACAGAACCCGGCUUACAGCUAACUUUAUUU
This 330-nucleotide RNase P RNA is filed under the name Wigglesworthia glossinidia endosymbiont of Glossina brevipalpis. Its description in RNAcentral is "Bacterial RNase P class A". It matches the Rfam family "Bacterial RNase P class A". Rfam says of the family: Ribonuclease P (RNase P) is a ubiquitous endoribonuclease, found in archaea, bacteria and eukarya as well as chloroplasts and mitochondria. The record is from Rfam by way of RNAcentral. Lineage: Bacteria; Pseudomonadati; Pseudomonadota; Gammaproteobacteria; Enterobacterales; Erwiniaceae.